This is a long non-coding RNA of Lethenteron reissneri (Far Eastern brook lamprey), 455 nucleotides long. RefSeq lists it as uncharacterized. The record is from RefSeq and is a predicted model, not a curated record. NCBI's taxonomy places the organism in Eukaryota, Metazoa, Chordata, Hyperoartia, Petromyzontiformes, Petromyzontidae.
GGGUACGGGUAUCGGGUACCCGGUUGCUACCUCUGAGGUGGGGUCAUUACAAACAGCACAAGGUGUAGUCGAAAACAUGCAGCCCUCCCUGUGUUAUGCUUGGAAAUGAACAUCAAUAGGUCAAGAUAUUAUCAUGGCCAGAGCCGUUGAUGCCACUACACCUUGAAUAGACCGAGCCCAGCUGCACAAAUGGAGCCUCGGAAACCGGUGGGGCUCACUCACCCCGCUGUGCCUCGGCCACUCCUCUACAACCACUGGACUGUGUUCAAAAAAAUGCCAGGGGCGAGAACACAAGACGUGGCAGAACAUACUAUUUACGUUUUAAAAUAUAGCAUUAUACUGAAAAGAUAUACAAUGUGCUUCAAUUUUUAAGCAAAUAUUCGAAUUAACCGCUUGAGAACGACGGUUUUACAAAUAUUAAUUAAUCACACAUUUUGUUUAUUGUAUCAAGUAGU